RNAcentral lists this ribosomal RNA (497 nucleotides) under uncultured bacterium. RNAcentral describes it as "partial 16S ribosomal RNA". It matches the Rfam family "Bacterial small subunit ribosomal RNA", at positions 28 to 507 of the family's 1533-position model. The record is from RNAcentral.
GACGAACGCUGGCGGCGUGCCUAAUACAUGCAAGUAGAACGCUGAAGAGAGGAGCUUGCUCUUCUUGGAUGAGUUGCGAACGGGUGAGUAACGCGUAGGUAACCUGCCUUGUAGCGGGGGAUAACUAUUGGAAACGAUAGCUAAUACCGCAUAACAAUGGAUGACACAUGUCAUUUAUUUGAAAGGGGCAAUUGCUCCACUACAAGAUGGACCAGCGUUGUAUUAGCUAGUAGGUGAGGUAAUGGCUCACCUAGGCGACGAUACAUAGCCGACCUGAGAGGGUGAUCGGCCACACUGGGACUGAGACACGGCCCAGACUCCUACGGGAGGCAGCAGUAGGGAAUCUUCGGCAAUGGGGGCAACCCUGACCGAGCAACGCCGCGUGAGUGAAGAAGGUUUUCGGAUCGUAAAGCUCUGUUGUAAGUCAAGAACGGGUGUGAGAGUGGAAAGUUCACACUGUGACGGUAGCUUACCAGAAAGGGACGGCUAACUACGUG